RNAcentral lists this ribosomal RNA (318 nucleotides) under Triticum aestivum (bread wheat). RNAcentral's name for it is "partial small subunit ribosomal RNA". Lineage: Eukaryota; Viridiplantae; Streptophyta; Magnoliopsida; Poales; Poaceae. The record is from RNAcentral.
AUGCCUACCUUCACUGGUGCGUUCUUGGCUGUGCCAGAGUGGACACUUCAGCACUGGCUCCACGACUAUGUUGAGGACAUCAAAUUGAUGGAUCGAGGGGGCAGGAGGUGGAGGACGGCACGCGGCGGCGGGGAUGGAUGUGCCGGCGAUGGGGACGCUAUUGGGGAUCCGGCGCCAACAGGUCGCGUCGCGGCUCGACGUUCCCGACGGCAGACAGGUCGCCCGCGCCCCCGUCAGGCUCCAAGACCGCCACAACGGCGAAAUGGCCCCGCCUCUGUCGACUGGUGUAGUUUGGACAGGAGCAAGUGCGCCAAUUAA